CAGCAGCCGCGGGAAUACGGAGGAUCCAAGCGUUAUCCGGAUUUAUUGGGUUUAAAGGGUGCGUAGGUGGCCUGUUAAGUCAGGGGUGAAAGACGGUAGCUCAACUAUCGCAGUGCCCUUGAUACUGAUGGGCUUGAAUGAACUAGAGGUAGGCGGAAUGUGACAAGUAGCGGUGAAAUGCAUAGAUAUGUCACAGAACACCAAUUGCGAAGGCAGCUUACUAUGGUUUUAUUGACACUGAGGCACGAAAGCGUGGGGAUCAAACAGGAUUAGAUACCCGGGUAGUCCCUGUCUCUUAUAC
This 301-nucleotide ribosomal RNA is filed under the name uncultured bacterium. RNAcentral describes it as "partial 16S ribosomal RNA". It matches the Rfam family "Bacterial small subunit ribosomal RNA", at positions 509 to 807 of the family's 1533-position model. The record is from RNAcentral.